GGGGUCGUGGGGCAUCCUGGGUCCUGUGACAAUGACCCAUCAUGCAUCGCUUUGCAUCCCAGCAGCCCCUUUACAAUUUCCCAAGGUGCCUGGUCCCAGAUCAAUUUGGUGGAGUCUGGAGGGGAUGUGAAAAAGCUGGGGGAGUCUCUCCGCCUCUCCUGCAAAACCUCCGGUUUCAGUUUCAGCAACUACGGCAUGAUCUGGGUCUGUCAGCCUCCUGGGAAGGGACUAGAAUGGGUGGCUUAUCUAAACAGCGCUGGGGGCGAUAUACACUCUCUUGAUUCAGUGAAAGGCCGGUCCUGAGUGGGAAGAAGCCCAGUGUGAUGCUGGCAGACCAGGUGCCAGCUAGGCCUUACAAGUGCAUAGCUGGAAACCAGUCUUCUUUACCUGUGUUAGCAUCAUCAAAAUAGAUGUUAGAUUCUAAGUUCAUAAGAAUAUGUUUAGUAUUUAGACUUCAUAAAAUGCUUGUAGGAUGUUGCCUGCACUGUUUUCACUUAUCUGUACCCUGGUAUAACUGAACAACAAACAUUUACAUUGUAUACCCCUGUAUCUCAGGCCCCGUCUACGCUGGCAGGUUUGUGAGCAGUAAAGCGGCUCUGAGUGCUGUAACUCCCGAGGUGUACACGCUGCCAAGCCACUUAGUGUGCAGAAACUCUGCCGAUGCAGGGCUCUAAAAAGCCAUCCCGACGAGAGGCGUACAGCUUUCUGCGCCGGGCUACAGCGUGGGGAUUACAGUGCUGUGACUGGCCUCCGGGAGGUGUCCCACAAUGCCUGUUCUCGCCUCUCUGGCCAUCGGUUUGAGCUCUACUGCCCUGCCCUCAGGUGACCAACCGUCAGCCCCACCCCAUACAUUCCUUUGCAAAUUUGAAAGUCCCCUUCCUGUUUGCUUGGUGAUGCAUGCAGGGGUCUCAGCGCAUCUUUCCAGGUGGCCACGCCUGCUCCACGCACCAGGUGAUCCCCCACUUGGGGCAAUGCUGAGCUGCUGGACCUCAUCUGCAUUUGGGGAGAGGAGACUGUGCAGUCCCAGCUGCGCUCCAGCUGUAGGAAUUAUGCUACCUACGGACAGAUUUCACGACGCAUGACAGAAAGGGACCAUGACCGGGACACACGGCAGUGCAGGGUCAAAGUGAAGGGGCUGCAGAACGCCUACCACGAGGCGCGGGAGGCAAACCGCCACUCCGGUGCUGCGCCCACGAGCUGCCAGUUCUACAAAGAGCUGGACGUGAUACUCGGCGGCGACCCCACCUCCACUGCGAAGGCCACUGUGGAUACUUCAUUGGCUCACGUGCCAGUCGAGAGUGGACUGAGCCAGGAGUUGGAAAUCUUGGAUGAAGAGAGGGAAGAAGACAGAGGCAGAGGAUAGCUCAGAGACCAGAGAUGCAUGGAGCCAGGACCUCUUCUCUACCCCAGAGGAGCCUAGCCAGCCACAGCAGGCGGAUAUUGGCAAAGCGCAGACAGGAGAGGAGGACCCUGAGGUGACCAUGGGAGGCCAGCCUCCCUCUGUGUUAUCGGCGGCAGAAUGGUUGCGAAGAAUUAGGAAGCAUCCAAGAAGAACUAAGGAGGACUUUAUGCAUGAGGUUAUGAUUCACUCCACUGCUGAGAAAAAGGAAUUGAAGGAGUGGUGGGACAGCAAGAAGAGGUACCGAAAGGAGAACGUAGCACACCAGAAAGUUGUCACGGAGCGGCUCUUAACAGUUAUGGAGCUCCAAGUGGACACGCUCCAGGAGAUACUAGCUCCGCAUCCGCCCUUCCCUGCAGCCACUGUCGCAAAACUCUUUCCCAUGCACACCCCCGACACACACACACACCCCGCCAACACACUGUUAUCAACCUCCUGGCUCCACUCUCUACCCGCAGCUUUCCACUCCUCCCUCCUCACGGUCCAGCACUGUGGACUCCCCAUACCCACUGCACUCAACAGCCAUCCCUCUGCAGUUUGGCCCUGCUGAAGUACAGCUGCAUCGUACUCCAAAGGAGAUGGUUGGGUAUGAUCCCUGGACAUACACAAAUCUCUAGCUGUCCCGGGACCCCUCCUGCUCUUGAGACCUUCCCUUCCCUGCUGAUGAUUUUUUUUAUUUGACUCUUUCCUCUGGUUGUUGUCUUUCAAUAAAAGAAUUGUGUUUGU
Molecule: long non-coding RNA, 2125 nt
Organism: Caretta caretta (loggerhead turtle)
Lineage: Eukaryota; Metazoa; Chordata; Testudines; Cheloniidae
Source: RefSeq, a predicted model, not a curated record